Molecule: long non-coding RNA, 869 nt
Organism: Gallus gallus (chicken)
Lineage: Eukaryota; Metazoa; Chordata; Aves; Galliformes; Phasianidae
Exons: 5
Source: RefSeq, a predicted model, not a curated record
CUGAGACACCACAGGGUGAAAUGGAAAAUGGAUAUUAAUAAAUGAAAGAGGUAUACAUAGACUCAUUAAUUUGGUACCACGUAAUGCAGAAAUAUUAUCAUCAUCUCUGGAUAUUAGCUUUUUCCUGUCUAUUAAACAAUCAAAACAGAACGUAGGUUUGACUGUUACACCAGUUCAGUAACCAUGGUUGAAGUACUUGCUGCUCAUUUUGUUCCAGAGGCUGCAAAUCCUGAAACCACAAAAGUGGGCGCAGUAUGCGUUACCUGGCAGAGUAGGAAGAAAGAGGUUAUGACUUUGCUAAGUUCUCCCCACCAUCCUUUGCGCUGUGAGAAGAAGCCAUUCUCCUAUAGUCUCCUGGGGCCUGUGUAUGAGAUUCAGCCCUCAGGAAUAUAUGAUGACAGCAUCUUGGCUCAUACAGAAGGAGGUUAAGAGAAGUGGCUGCCAUUUCCAGUUAAAUGUGGAUUGGUCACAACCCAGCAGACUCUGAUCUGAACAACCAAAGGGUUCAGGAUCUUACCCAGUCUGAACAGAAGGCUUACUCCCAUUUACCUGAAAAUGAAAUCAGGACUAUAACUGCAUCACCAUGGAUACAGGAUUUCAGGCACCACAGAAUCAGAUCAAACCAUCAUAUGAUGAAAGCAGAAAAAUCUCUGAUUAAGAAGGAUUAAAAAACUGAGUAAACUGUUGGAAAAGCCCAGCAACAGUGAAUUCUGUGGAGUAGAAACCAAAGCAAGAGAUUCAGUCUUCAGUGCCAUCUUGACCCAUAAGUGGCGCUGCUGACCAGCAACAUUGCUGUUCUGAAUCCCAUCCCACGUGUGGCUGUUUUCCAGGGAGCAGGGAAGAGGCAGAGCAGGUAUGAUUCCCGUCUU